RNAcentral lists this ribosomal RNA (465 nucleotides) under Vreelandella stevensii. RNAcentral's name for it is "partial 16S ribosomal RNA". It matches the Rfam family "Bacterial small subunit ribosomal RNA", at positions 338 to 795 of the family's 1533-position model. The record is from RNAcentral. Lineage: Bacteria; Pseudomonadati; Pseudomonadota; Gammaproteobacteria; Oceanospirillales; Halomonadaceae.
CCUACGGGAGGCUGCAGUGGGGAAUAUUGGACAAUGGGGGGAACCCUGAUCCAGCCAUGCCGCGUGUGUGAAGAAGGCCCUCGGGUUGUAAAGCACUUUCAGUGAGGAAGAACGCCUGGUGGUUAAUACCCAUCAGGAAAGACAUCACUCACAGAAGAAGCACCGGCUAACUCCGUGCCAGCAGCCGCGGUAAUACGGAGGGUGCGAGCGUUAAUCGGAAUUACUGGGCGUAAAGCGCGCGUAGGUGGCUUGAUAAGCCGGUUGUGAAAGCCCCGGGCUCAACCUGGGAAUGGCAUCCGGAACUGUCAAGCUAGAGUGCAGGAGAGGAAGGUAGAAUUCCCGGUGUAGCGGUGAAAUGCGUAGAGAUCGGGAGGAAUACCAGUGGCGAAGGCGGCCUUCUGGACUGACACUGACACUGAGGUGCGAAAGCGUGGGUAGCAAACAGGAUUAGAUACCCCUGUAGUC